GACGAACGCUGGCGGCGUGCUUAACACAUGCAAGUCGAACGGAAAGGCCCUGCUUGCAGGGUACUCGAGUGGCGAACGGGUGAGUAACACGUGGGUGAUCUGCCCUGCACUUCGGGAUAAGCCUGGGAAACUGGGUCUAAUACCGGAUAGGAGCCAUUUUUAGUGUGAUGGUUGGAAAGUUUUUUCGGUGUAGGAUGAGCUCGCGGCCUAUCAGCUUGUUGGUGGGGUAAUGGCCUACCAAGGCGGCGACGGGUAGCCGGCCUGAGGGGGUGGACGGCCACAUUGGGACUGAGAUACGGCCCAGACUCCUACGGGAGGCAGCAGUGGGGAAUAUUGCACAAUGGGCGCAAGCCUGAUGCAGCGACGCCGCGGGGGGGAUGACGGCCUUCGGGUUGUAAACUCCUUUCGCUAGGGACGAAGCUUUUUGUGACGGUACCUAGAGAAGAAGCACCGGCUAACUACGUG
RNAcentral lists this ribosomal RNA (465 nucleotides) under uncultured bacterium. RNAcentral describes it as "partial 16S ribosomal RNA". It matches the Rfam family "Bacterial small subunit ribosomal RNA", at positions 28 to 507 of the family's 1533-position model. The record is from RNAcentral.